GAGGAAAAAUGUAAACCAAGUGAAUCUAUGUUUCCAAAAAUGAAAACCUCUUCUAUAGCAACACUCCUCUUCCUAGCUAUCUUCCAAUUUUCAUUUGGGUUGAAAUCAGGAGAGUGCCAGUUAUGUUCAUUUGGAACAGUGGAAAUGGAGAGAUGCUCAAUCCCUCAAUGCUCUUCAGACUGCAGGAACAAAGUUUCACAUUCAACUGGCAGAUGCAUUGCUAUUGACACUUGUUGCUGUGUUGCAAGAGCUCAUUUCCAUAAUUAAUUACUUUUCUUUAAUUAUGUUAAUGUUUUCACUUCCGUAUUUACCAAUUGUCAUGCUUUUUUUUUUUUUUUUUUUUGAAUCGGGAGGCUUAUGCUUUGAGCAGCAAGUGAGUGAAUAACGAUGUACUUUAAAGAGGCUUUUUUUGUUUUGCUUUUGGGCUACUUAAGAUUUGUAAAGUAAUACCCCAAAAAGUAUUGUAAGCUUUUGAUACACCACCUAUUAAGGAGAAUAAAUUUUUAUCUUUUGCAUGCAAAA
Chenopodium quinoa (quinoa) is the source of this 522-nucleotide long non-coding RNA. RefSeq lists it as uncharacterized. The record is from RefSeq and is a predicted model, not a curated record. NCBI's taxonomy places the organism in Eukaryota, Viridiplantae, Streptophyta, Magnoliopsida, Caryophyllales, Amaranthaceae. The transcript has 2 exons.